RNAcentral lists this transfer RNA (75 nucleotides) under Candidatus Uhrbacteria bacterium. RNAcentral describes it as "tRNA-Cys". It matches the Rfam family "tRNA". From Rfam's summary of the family: Transfer RNA (tRNA) molecules are approximately 80 nucleotides in length. Their secondary structure includes four short double-helical elements and three loops (D, anti-codon, and T loops). The record is from RNAcentral. Lineage: Bacteria; Candidatus Uhriibacteriota.
GGCGUGGUAGCCAAGUGGGAAGGCAGGGGUCUGCAAAACCCCUAUUCGCGGGUUCGAUUCCCGCUCACGCCUCCA